Molecule: long non-coding RNA, 797 nt
Organism: Saccoglossus kowalevskii
Lineage: Eukaryota; Metazoa; Hemichordata; Enteropneusta; Harrimaniidae
Source: RefSeq, a predicted model, not a curated record
CCAGAACGGAGCAACAUGCCAUAUCUUCAAUGGUGCAUGCAAAUGUACCACUGGAUGGAAGGGAAUAGCCUGUGAUAUAGAUUUGGAGUAGAAAUUUACUCUGUUGCUGACCAAGACGCUGGAAUAUAUGAAUGUAAUGUAGUUGACAUAUAUGGUGAAGUGUACAAAGAUUACUCGACUCUGAUAGUGACAGGAUGCGAAAAUAAUCGUUGGGGUGCAAUAUGUGAUAAAAAUUGUAAUUGUGAAAAUGGUGGUAACUGCAGUCGUAAAGAUGGUUGUAUUUGUAGUCAGGGGUGGAAUGGAACAUACUGCACAGAAGAUGUAGGAGCUCCGGAAUUCGUGUUUUGUCCGCACAACAUCACGGCAUUAUUAGAUGAAGGGUCAUUGUCCACUGCAGUCACGUGGCCAAAAGUUGAAGUCAAUGACAAUUCAGGACUGUUUAAUCUGACAUCAAACCAUGAAGCAGGAGAACAAUUUAUCAUAGGAAUACACAACAUAUUGUACACAGCAGUAGAUAUUCAUGGAAAUACUGCCUUGUGUAAAUUCAGUGUAAAUGUGGACGCUGUCAAUAUUGGAACAACUGUGAAAACUGUGUUUAUUGUGACUUCACUCGUACCGGUAGUCUUGUUUAGUUUCGGUUCUGUUGUGUGUCUCUGAUACAGAAAGAAUAAACUAAUGUAUCCAGCGCUAUUUGGUAGAUCUGAGGAUGAUGAUGAUAAGGAAUGGGAUGCAUUUGUAGCUGUUAGAGGGGGUACGGAAGAUGAAACAUUUGUAUAUAAAGAAUUAUUGCACGAAUU